Long non-coding RNA from Culex quinquefasciatus (southern house mosquito), 705 nucleotides. RefSeq lists it as uncharacterized. NCBI's taxonomy places the organism in Eukaryota, Metazoa, Arthropoda, Insecta, Diptera, Culicidae. The record is from RefSeq and is a predicted model, not a curated record. The transcript is spliced from 3 exons.
ACAGCAUUCGAAAGAUCGCAUGAAAAGCUUUCAAAUCCGUUUUGUUGAUCGAAAUCAAUAAAAAUACAUUCUAUCAUGAUAGAACAUGCUUCUUAUUGCAUUAUAUGUCCAAAUUGUUUGCUUCCUGGUUGCCCCCGCGUACAGCUCGCCCAUAUCGGUGCCCGGGAAGGUUGUACUCUUUGUCGGUGAAGCUGGUUCGGGGACGAAUUUUUGUUUGACGACGUUAACUCUGGGGUUGGGAAUGCCAAGUUGGCAGUUAAUGGCAAAGAUCUUAGCCGUGUUGAGGUUUUUAAAGUAGGUGCAGUACGUCGAGGUCUAGAUAGCGUCACUAAUGACUUUCUAGCCUCUCAGGGUGAAGAUUACGGGUUGAAGGAGGUCGGUUUUGCCCUAGCGGUACUAACCGGAGGCGGCCCGCGUCUAAAUACGCCGGCUUUGCUUGGCAAACCCGACGGUGUUCACAUGAUCGUUUUCUGGGAGGAUGACGAUUAAAAGUCCGAAAUCGAUCGAGAGCUGCUUGUUGCCCUCGAUGGUGAGGCCCAGUUGCCAUUCGAAUCGCGGAAUGACCUUCUAGCGUAGGCGCGUCCAUCUCUCAGCAGACACGCGGAAUGUGAAUCGCUAGAAAUUCGACCACCCUCGAGAUUCCCCCGGACGAUGGUUCACUCUAGUAAUCACCGUCCUCAUCCGGAACUUGUUCCGUUUGAAUCA